RNAcentral lists this small nuclear RNA (107 nucleotides) under Castor canadensis (American beaver). The record is from RNAcentral. Lineage: Eukaryota; Metazoa; Chordata; Mammalia; Rodentia; Castoridae.
UGGCUCACUUCGGCAGCACAUAUACUAAAAUUGGAGCGAUACAGAGAAGAUUAGCGUGGCCCCUGCACAAGGAUGACACACAAAUUCGUGAAACGUUCCCUAUUUUA